UUGUCAUUGCACAAACCUAGUGAAAUAGAAUCAAACCCAAUUCCAACACAGAUGUGUAUAACUCCGAGAAAGGAUGACCAGUAGACGGAGACGGAAGGACUAAGAUAGUUGAAUAACUAUUUUCGUAGAAUGGAUAGCCCAGGUAAGUAGAGGAGCAUCAAAUGAAAUUUAACUCCACUAUACGCAACACAGCGGUGACGCACGACGCGACGUUUCCUUUUUUUCUCCGGCCCAGGUAUUCUCGCCAUAGAUUUUUUUUAGGAUUGAAGAGGAAGGAUAUGGGUAUCUGAUAAAAUU
Long non-coding RNA from Neodiprion fabricii, 297 nucleotides. RefSeq lists it as uncharacterized. The record is from RefSeq and is a predicted model, not a curated record. The transcript is spliced from 3 exons. NCBI's taxonomy places the organism in Eukaryota, Metazoa, Arthropoda, Insecta, Hymenoptera, Diprionidae.